GGCACUGUGGCCGAGUGGCAAGGCAGAGGUCUGCAAAACCUUUUACAGUGGUUCAAAUCCACUCAGUGCCUC
RNAcentral lists this transfer RNA (72 nucleotides) under Candidatus Karelsulcia muelleri. RNAcentral's name for it is "Candidatus Sulcia muelleri tRNA-Cys". It matches the Rfam family "tRNA". Rfam says of the family: Transfer RNA (tRNA) molecules are approximately 80 nucleotides in length. Their secondary structure includes four short double-helical elements and three loops (D, anti-codon, and T loops). The record is from RNAcentral. Lineage: Bacteria; Pseudomonadati; Bacteroidota; Flavobacteriia; Flavobacteriales.